GCGGGUGUAGCUCAAUGGUUAGAGUCCCAGCCUUCCAAGCUGGUUAUGCGGGUUCGAUUCCCGUCACCCGCU
Molecule: transfer RNA, 72 nt
Filed under: Bacillota bacterium
Lineage: Bacteria; Bacillati; Bacillota
Description: tRNA-Gly
Rfam family: tRNA
About the family: Transfer RNA (tRNA) molecules are approximately 80 nucleotides in length. Their secondary structure includes four short double-helical elements and three loops (D, anti-codon, and T loops).
Source: RNAcentral